This 908-nucleotide non-coding RNA is filed under the name Dufourea novaeangliae. RNAcentral's name for it is "Eukaryotic large subunit ribosomal RNA". It matches the Rfam family "Eukaryotic large subunit ribosomal RNA", at positions 1 to 672 of the family's 3401-position model. Lineage: Eukaryota; Metazoa; Arthropoda; Insecta; Hymenoptera; Halictidae. The record is from Rfam by way of RNAcentral.
CGACCUCAGAGUAGGCGAGAUUACCCGCUGAAUUUAAGCAUAUUACUAAGCGGAGGAAAAGAAACUAACAAGGAUUUCCUUAGUAGCGGCGAGCGAACAGGAUUGAGCCCAGCAAUGUAGUGUUUAGGAGGGUCAAUUUAUCCCGAGAUGUCGAACUGCGUCCAAGUCCAUCUUGAAUGGGGCCAUUUACCCGUGGAGGGUGUCAGGCCCGUCGCGACAGGUACGCAUUUCGGGAGGACUUCUCUUUAGAGUCGCGUUACUUGGGAGUGCAUCCCUAAGUGGGUGGUAAACUCCAUCUAAGGCUCUAAAUAUAACCACGAGACCGAUAGCGAACAAGUACCGUGAGGGAAUGUGGAAAAGAACUUUGAAGAGAGAGUUCAAGAGUACGUGAAACCGUUCAGGGGUAAACCUGAGAAACCCAAAAGUUUGAAUGGGGAGAUUCAUCGGCAGCGAAGCUGGCUCCCGUUGGUGCGUUGAUACCCUGACUUUGGGGCCUUCGUGGUUUCAAUGCGAGGGCACACCAUCUUCGGUGAACGUUCCGGCUAUAUGUAGUCGUGCACUUCUCCCUUAGUAGAACGUCGCGACCCGUUGCGUGUCGGUCUACGGCCCAAGUUGUUUGCCUGGCACGUCGCCUAGUGCGCACACGUCAGACGCUCGAUCGCCCGGUCGGCUGCGUGACGGUACUCUGACGGUAUCGGGCAGCAACCAAUCCAUUUUCGAAUAUACGUGCGUCAGGCCCGCCGCAAGCUCGGUCAGUUUACCCGGAGGUGUACGGACCUGGUGCCGUCCCCGGGCCUGGCCAGCUGUUUGCAGGCGGUGUUCUUGAACUGGCCAAGCUUCGAAUUACCGGUCGGCGACGCUACUGCUUUGGGUACUCACAGGACCUGUCUUGAAACACGGACCAAGGA